Hemicordylus capensis (graceful crag lizard) is the source of this 561-nucleotide long non-coding RNA. RefSeq lists it as uncharacterized. Lineage: Eukaryota; Metazoa; Chordata; Lepidosauria; Squamata; Cordylidae. The record is from RefSeq and is a predicted model, not a curated record. The transcript is spliced from 3 exons.
CGUUAACAAAAAUAGCUUCUGCAUGGUGAGGUUUCCAGUUCCGCAUGGCUGUGGGAAUCUUCAAUUUGGUUGCCUGUGUGGGUGAUCCAAACUGCUUGCUGUACAGUUGCAGAGACUGUGAUCAAGCAAAAUGUCAUGGCCUUGACCUUGAGGGACAGCCAGGUUUCAGAUCAUGAGGGGAAGAGCCAGGAAAAUCUCAUCAUUAUCACCAGUUGUUGAGGCGCAGUGGCAAGGAUGAGCCAGAAGCACAGAAUGGUGCACAACUGCAGGUAUUAUUUGUUUGCACCCACACCCCAAGAAGACACGAGACACAGAAAAUUAUGGUGAAAAGGGCCACAAUUUUUAUUAAUGUUAACUUUUAUUAAUGUUAAAGUGAAACUGAAAUGGAAACAGGGAUUGGCUCUCCACCCCCACAGUGCGGUACCUAAAGACGUGCCACCUCCAUGGCAUCCUAGCCUAAUUCACAGGGGUGAAAGCACCUUGGCUCCAGGCAGCCCCAUAGCUCUAAAGCAUAGGCUGCCCAUCUUAGCUGACCUAAGGUCAGGUCUCUGCCCUUGGCAG